AGUGAACGCUGGCGGUAGGCCUAACACAUGCGAGUCGAACGGCAGCACAGUAAGAGCUUGCUCUUACGGGUGGCGAGUGGCGGACGGGUGAGGAAUACAUCGGAAUCUACUUUUUCGUGGGGGAUAACGUAGGGAAACUUACGCUAAUACCGCAUACGACCUACGGGUGAAAGCAGGGGAACUUCGGACCUUGCGCGAUUGAAUGAGCCGAUGUCGGAUUAGCUAGUUGGCGGGGUAAAGGCCCACCAAGGCGACGAUCCGUAACUUGUCUGAGAGCAUGAUCAGCCACCCUGAAACUGAGAAACGGUCCAGCCUCCUACGGUAGGCCGCACUGGGGAAUAUUUGACAAUGGUCGCAAGCCUGAUCCAGCCAUACCGCGUAGGUGAAGAAGGCCUUCGGGUUUUAAAGCCCCUUUGUUGGGAAAGAAAAGCAACAGGUUAAUACCCCGCUGUUCUGACGGUACCCGAAGAAUAAGCACCGGCUUACUUCGUG
This 492-nucleotide ribosomal RNA is filed under the name uncultured bacterium. RNAcentral describes it as "partial 16S ribosomal RNA". It matches the Rfam family "Bacterial small subunit ribosomal RNA", at positions 29 to 507 of the family's 1533-position model. The record is from RNAcentral.